GUUGCGGGCGUGCCUAUACUGCAAGUCGAACGAACUCUGGUAUUGAUUGGUGCUUGCAUCAUGAUUUACAUUUGAGUGAGUGGCGAACUGGUGAGUAACACGUGGGAAACCUGCCCAGAAGCGGGGGAUAACACCUGGAAACAGAUGCUAAUACCGCAUAACAACUUGGACCGCAUGGUCCGAGUUUGAAAGAUGGCUUCGGCUAUCACUUUUGGAUGGUCCCGCGGCGUAUUAGCUAGAUGGUGAGGUAACGGCUCACCAUGGCAAUGAUACGUAGCCGACCUGAGAGGGUAAUCGGCCACAUUGGGACUGAGACACGGCCCAAACUCCUACGGGAGGCAGCAGUAGGGAAUCUUCCACAAUGGACGAAAGUCUGAUGGAGCAACGCCGCGUGAGUGAAGAAGGGUUUCGGCUCGUAAAACUCUGUUGUUAAAGAAGAACAUAUCUGAGAGUAACUGUUCAGGUAUUGACGGUAUUUAACCAGAAAGCCACGGCUAACUACGUGCCAGCAGCCGCGGUAAUACGUAGGUGGCAAGCGUUGUCCGGAUUUAUUGGGCGUAAAGCGAGCGCAGGCGGUUUUUUAAGUCUGAUGUGAAAGCCUUCGGCUCAACCGAAGAAGUGCAUCGGAAACUGGGAAACUUGAGUGCAGAAGAGGACAGUGGAACUCCAUGUGUAGCGGUGAAAUGCGUAGAUAUAUGGAAGAACACCAGUGGCGAAGGCGGCUGUCUGGUCUGUAACUGACGCUGAGGCUCGAAAGUAUGGGUAGCAAACAGGAUUAGAUACCCUGGUAGUCCAUACCGUAAACGAUGAAUGCUAAGUGUUGGAAGGGUUUCCGCCCUUCAGUGCUGCAGCUAACGCAUUAAGCAUUCCGCCUGGGGGAGUACGGCCGCAAGGCUGAAACUCAAAGGAAUUGACGGGGGCCCGCACAAGCGGUGGAACCAUGGGGGUUUAAUUCGAAGCUACGCGAAGAACCUUACCAGGUCUUGACAUACUAUGCAAAUCUAAGAAGAUUAGACGUUCCCUUCGGGGACAUGGAAACAGGGUGGGGGCAUGGGUUGUCGUCAGCUCCUGUCGUGAGAAGUUUGGGGUUAAUUCCCCCCACCAAGCGCAACCCUUUAUUAUCAGUUGCCAGCAUUAAAUUGGGGACUCCUGGUGAGAACUGCCGGUGAAAACCCGAGGAAGAGAGGGGGGGGUGAGGGU
RNAcentral lists this ribosomal RNA (1200 nucleotides) under Lactiplantibacillus pentosus. RNAcentral's name for it is "bacterial SSU rRNA". It matches the Rfam family "Bacterial small subunit ribosomal RNA", at positions 35 to 1186 of the family's 1533-position model. The record is from RNAcentral. Lineage: Bacteria; Bacillati; Bacillota; Bacilli; Lactobacillales; Lactobacillaceae.